UCGUUCACUGCAAUACGUGUACAAUAUAACGACGCAUUCCGAAUACUCAUGGGUUUGCCGAGGUAUUGCAGUGCUUCUACUAUGUUUGCCGAAGCGAGAGUGCCCGACUUCUAUUGUAUUGUUAGAGCUCGCGUGGCAUCCUUUUGGGAAAGACUUCGGAGCUCUAACAAUACAAUACUCAAGGUUGUUUGUGAAGGGAUGCCCAGCCCUAUUUUUAAUUAUUGGUUGUCUGUACACCAGGAUAAGAACAGAAAAUAAUACCUGUGACCUGUGACAUCUGAAAUGAGUUUUUUAACCAUUUCAGUUAGUCUUAAGUUAAUCUAAUGUAAGUGAAUGCUUUUAAUGUAACUUUUAUUUUAUUUUAAUUU
Molecule: long non-coding RNA, 368 nt
Organism: Maniola jurtina (meadow brown)
Lineage: Eukaryota; Metazoa; Arthropoda; Insecta; Lepidoptera; Nymphalidae
Exons: 3
Source: RefSeq, a predicted model, not a curated record